GGGACUGUUUUGGUUUCGACAUUUAAUAGUUGUUGGUAUACGUCAGGUCAAAGUUUGUACUCUUUGUAAAAAAGACUAAAUUAUUAAUAAAUGCUAAUAAUAUUAUGCCUUUUAUCUUUAAAAUGGUAAAACCAAAAAAUGGUUCAACUGUUUUAAACUUUGCUGUUUAAUUACAUCAUUUAGAUUAUUAAAUAUUUUUUCACUAUUGCUGGACUUUUCGUUGGUAUAUAGUUUAGAAUAAAUUUAAAUUUUAAAUUUUGUUCAAGUUUUUGGACUAAACCUGUAAACACAUAUAUUAAUAUACGUUAGAUGGACAUGGGUUCAAUUCCCAUCAGUUCCA
Molecule: transfer-messenger RNA, 340 nt
Filed under: Thalassiosira profunda
Lineage: Eukaryota; Bacillariophyta; Thalassiosirophyceae; Thalassiosirales; Thalassiosiraceae
Description: ssra
Rfam family: transfer-messenger RNA
About the family: Bacterial tmRNA, also known as 10Sa RNA or SsrA, is named for its dual tRNA and mRNA-like properties. Its role is to liberate the mRNA from a stalled ribosome.
Source: RNAcentral